This is a long non-coding RNA of Leopardus geoffroyi (Geoffroy's cat), 178 nucleotides long. RefSeq lists it as uncharacterized. The transcript has 2 exons. The record is from RefSeq and is a predicted model, not a curated record. Lineage: Eukaryota; Metazoa; Chordata; Mammalia; Carnivora; Felidae.
UGUAACUUCCUAGAGACUAUCAUCUGUCCAGUGUAUCCACUCCAACCACAAUGGGGUCCCUAGGAUUUGGGUAGGUCUGCAUUGUGGUUGCUGUAACAGUUUCUCAUGGAUGAGCCACUGAUGACUUUACCGAGAGCCAAAAUGGAGAGUUCUGCAGAAAACAUGUGCGGUGAGAAAG